GGGCGGGGCAGCGGCAGCGCGUUUGCGCCGGAGGGCCUAGCGUCCUGCUGCCGACAUGAUGGAGUUCUGUCCGGGCUUGGCCAAGCAGGGGAAUGGAGACUUGUGGGAGAGAAGGGGCCAGGAUGGAAGAGAAGUCUGCAGAACUUGCUUUUCCUAGAUGUCUCAGUGUACACAGAUCUUGGCACCUGGGCUCCUUGCCAGUGUGGAUUGUGUACAAAUGUCACCACGUCUUCCAAACCCUUUCCCUGAUGACCUGACUUAGAGAUCAGGAGUGACCCGCUGUCUUGGCCAUCCUCUGUCUCUCAUCGUGCUGUAUCUUCGAGAGAGGGAGAGAGAGCGAGCACAGGCAGACAGAAUGGCAGGCAGAGGCAGAAGGAGAAG
This is a long non-coding RNA of Lutra lutra (Eurasian river otter), 381 nucleotides long. RefSeq lists it as uncharacterized. The transcript has 4 exons. The record is from RefSeq and is a predicted model, not a curated record. NCBI's taxonomy places the organism in Eukaryota, Metazoa, Chordata, Mammalia, Carnivora, Mustelidae.